AGAUGUGAAGGCGAACUGGCUGAGACAUCUGACAACCCAUUGAUCACCAGGGUUGAUUCAGCUGAUCUGGCUGGCUAGGCGGGUAUCCCCUUCCUCACUCACCACUCCAUGCGCAUCCCUCCCAAAGGUGCAUGCUCGGUGGAAGAGGACAACCAUCCCAUAUAGAAGGAGUGUACCGUUCUUUGGUCAAGGGUAUAUGAUAGCUUCGCUCCCCUGGUAGAACUUCCAAACAAGCUCAAGGUCCAAAGCCUUCUCAAUCUUGACACAAUCUUGAACAUGCUAAGCAUGGAAAACAUCUCUAAGAUCAGCUUGUCCUUGAGAUGGGGGAUUUCAGA
RNAcentral lists this small nuclear RNA (335 nucleotides) under Pogona vitticeps (central bearded dragon). Its description in RNAcentral is "7SK RNA (ENSPVIG00000022266.1)". It matches the Rfam family "7SK RNA". From Rfam's summary of the family: 7SK was discovered as an abundant small nuclear RNA in the mid-70s but a possible function has only recently been suggested. Two independent studies have found that 7SK RNA binds the CDK9/cyclin T complex (known as elongation factor P-TEFb). The record is from Rfam by way of RNAcentral. Lineage: Eukaryota; Metazoa; Chordata; Lepidosauria; Squamata; Agamidae.